This is a long non-coding RNA of Humulus lupulus (European hop), 4081 nucleotides long. RefSeq lists it as uncharacterized. The transcript is spliced from 5 exons. Lineage: Eukaryota; Viridiplantae; Streptophyta; Magnoliopsida; Rosales; Cannabaceae. The record is from RefSeq and is a predicted model, not a curated record.
CCGAAUUUCAACUUUCAAAUCUCUAUUAAAUAAGUAAUAACCCAUUCUAAUUUUACCCUUUAUAUGUUUUCCUUUUUUUAAAAUUUUUUUUUCCAUCCCAUUUUCUCUUUCCUCUGUUCUUCUCUUUUCUCUAGAACGCAAAAUCUCUAGUCUGAUUCCUUGUAAAAGUGGCUAUCGAAUUUUCGAAAUGUGGUGCAAAAGUUUCGACUAAGAAAUCUGAAGCUAAGGUGAUCCCCUAUGAAGAAUGGAAAACAGAUUAUGAGAAAUAUUGUUCACAAUUCACUCAGAAUGCCAAAUUCCUGGCGAUGUUACAAUCUCGAUGCCCACCAGAGAAUAACUCAAGGAUUGGUAGUACAAUCUAGCACUUAAAUCUGAUGAAAUAGUAAUAGGAUCUACUCACUUGCACAUGGUUCAUUCUUCCCUCUCGCCUCUUCUCAUUUAGUUUCUGGCUGUGGCGGGUAUUCACAUUAUGCAACUGCCCCUUAAUGCAAUUCAAUCCAUUAUUGUCGCCGGUGUUCUUGGGGUAGUGAAGAAAAAGAAACUUCGAGUAUCCGAAAUUUUUGGUUCCUUUAGAAAAUCAAUAAACACCGCCUCUGUCCACAAGGUUUGGUAUCUUUCUCCCAAAAAGGGUCGUUUCAUGAUUACUGGUCAGGAGACUUCUCACCGCAAUUGGGGUGAAUUUGUAUUUCUUAUCAGAGGUAACUGGUUUCCAAAGUUGUUUGUGAUGGCGUGUUUCCUGUUCUUCGUUACUUAUCAGAAGGGAUUUCUUGGCCUGAAAAAUAUGACAUCAGUGAGUCCAGGGUUGAAUCGCUAACUUCUUGCGGGAUUUUUCAUGUCUGCAAGGUUCAUGCUAUUCUAGUAAGGAAAUUACUAAAUUCAGAAGUAAUGUCGUGUCUCCCGAGGCAAUGGGGGAUUGAUGAUAUUAAUGAAUAUGUCAUCAAAAUAGCUGUUGAUGAUGAUGACGACAACGAUGCCAUGCUUGUCAAGACAAGUCGUGGCCAUCUUUUUUAUUUCAAGAAGCACGACAAUCCAUCUACCAUUUAUGCUUUUCUACCCAACGAAAUUCAUAUACUGUCCCAGCUCGUGGACAACGCUCUAAAAGAUUCAUCUUUUUGAGGCCUUCCAAACGCCUCAAGAGGCUUUCGGCAAAGCUCUAUGGCUAGAAGUACUAGCAAAGAUACCAAUACCUCUUCUUCUGAUCCCUCAUCAAGCGCUCUCGAGGCGUUCAACAUUUUAUCAGUGGUUGCUCUCGCACUUGAUAUAGAUAAAAAAAAAUUAUGAUGCCCCUAUCUCCCUCUAAGUCCUUACUUUCAGCACCAUUUCUUUCUCCGGAGCUUCUGAUACACAGUUGAUUCGAAAAAGAAAACAAUUCCCACCACUUCUCGGUGCUCCCCAGAUGGUCGUUUCUCAUGAUCCUCUUGAUAAUGCGCCUAAAAAGUUCAAAGUUUCUUUUGCUCCUCCUCUUCCUUCUACUUAGGCAAGGCCUAGCUCUCCAGAAUUCCUCGUUGAUAAAUGCACCCAAAGGCGCAUACACGUUCUUGCUAACAUGUCUCUUUUUGGUAAGUCAAACAAGUCUACUUCCAGUGUUGCACAGAAAACAAUUGAAUCUCCUGUCGAUCCAAUUCCUAUAACUGCUAAGCAAAUAUUCACACAUGCCAUUGAUGCUACUUUAAUUACCUCUAUCACUUGAACUUCUCUUUCUCCCUUUGUUUCACUCAAAUUCGCCUCUUCUAGCACUCUGUUCCAGCAUUUACGAGCCUCCUCCAUGGAUACUCCUACGUUUUUGCCUAACGAUUGUAGUAAUGGGAGUAUCGAUAAGAGACUUUUCACCUUCUCAAGUUUAUCACCUUCUCAAGAUCCUCUUGCCGACCUUCUGGGAUCUCAAAAAUUUGACAAAUACACUUCCUCCUCUGAACUUGCCCCUUUUACCACCUCUCCAGCCCCGACAGCUGUCCCCGAGGCUGCUGCCGCUACUUCCCUAUCUAUCAUAAUUCAUUCUCCCCCUUGUAACCAAUUUAGAGGCUGAAUUGGUUACAACCAUUUCCUGCAAUCUCAAAUCUGCCCAAUAUUCGCUUUGACAGAAGUAGUUCUUCACUGCGUCGUUCUCCUUUCUUAGCAUUUCUUAACGAGGACGUGAUUGCUAUUUUGAGGAGCAAUAUGUGCAUCCACAAUCAUCUACUAUCUGGUCUGCAGGGCAUCUCUUCCUCAGAGUUUCAUCACCAUCUCUGCGACAUUACCCUUUUGGUUUCUUGUGGCUGGUAACCUGGAUCAAACUGGGAGUGUCAAAGCUGAACUAUCAGUUUCUCGAGAAGUGCAAAACAAACUUGAAGAACAAUUGAAGUCUUCUGAAGCAGCUCACACUAAAUCAGAAGAAGAACUCGCUUUCAUAUAAAAUUAACUCUCUGAGGCGCAUGGGUGACUUGAAAUAGUGCCAGCUGCACUAAACGAGAGGGCUCAUUGAAGAGAAAGUUGGUGAAAGCUGAGCAAAUACUCAUUAGCAUUAAUGCAAUCGAGAAGCAACGCGAUCAAGCUAUCGAAGAACUUGCAAAAGCUACGCUGGAAGUUACAAGCCUUAACAAAGAGCUUUUAAAGCGUUUGAAGAUCAACCGAACUCAAGAUGUGUUACUGUCUCCAAAAACAACUCUCAUUUAAAAACUUGAAGACAAAGUGGCUUCGUUAUUAGCAGAGGUGGCACAGAUUAUCGACACGCGACAAUCAUAGGAUGACGAACCGACAUCAACAAUGUAGACUCUAGACAACCCCCGACCAGAUCGCAAGGAGUAAUCAAAGCUUCACCAUACAACAACUGAUCAAAACAUAGUCAAAGCUUCAUUCAGAAAGGUAAUCCUAGUUGGCUCGAUGACAUGCUCGACCUACCUUGUCGGAUGCUUUGGUAAAAACGCAUAUAAUGACCAGCUUAAGUAGAUAUUUACUAGAUAUUUAUCAUCUGAAAUGUAUUAUCAUUAAUUAUUUCAUUAUUUUAUUAUUACUUGCCAUGCAAGUCAUGAAAGUUUCACGACCCAUUUGUGUAAGAUCUCAUAGCCUAUAAAUAGAAGGCUUAGUACAUAAUUAUUUUCUAAGGUUAUUUUUGUGCACUUUUAUACAUAGAACAUUUUAUUUUCUCAAGCUCACGAAACUCGGUUGAAUCUAGUUCAUCUAAUCAUGGGUUUGGAGCUUUCUACAUGAAUAAGUAUCUAAGUGGACGUAGGUUUGGGCUGAACCACUGUAAAUUCCUGUGUCGUUUACUAUUUCAAUUCAGAUCUCUAUUUUUCAUAUCGAUUAUUUGACAGUAUCGUUGGACAUAUAUGUGCUCAACAACUAUAGGGCUGCUAAGCUGAGAGCACUAAAAGGUGCACUAUUGGAAGCAGAGAAGAAACAUUCUAAGCUUGAAGCAAAACUGACCGAAACAAGGAUGCGACUUGGUAAGGCCCAAAGUGUCUUAUCUGCUUCUUCAAAUGAAAGGUUGUCACUACUAAAGACUAGGAGCUAGAAGAGGUUCAUCUUCAAUCCACUCGCAAUCGCAUCAAUGAUCGGCCGUUGACAGAGACAAGGAUGAAUAGAAUGGCGGAUCUAGACAUCGCCUCAUACCUCGAUUCUAUGGCCAAAUAUUCUGACCUCUCUACUGUUGAGAAGAUCGAUAUUGUUAAAGUAGUUUGUACUCCGUUUGGCAUUGAGUAUGGGCAUUACGACUAAAAGCACUACAGCGCUCAAUUAGGCUACAUCCACAUCUCUUACCAUGUCGUACAUUUAGAAGAACUUCAAAGGAGGCAAGAUGCUUUAGGAUUCAUUUAUUAGGAAACCUGUGAAGCAAUCUUCUGGUGGUGUGUCAACUCAAUCGACUGGUGAAGCUAGAUCAUUUCCUCGGAUUGCAGCACCUGAAUCAUCAACUCAGGGAUCUUCUGCAAAUGGGAAAAUUGUGGUUGUUUCAAAGGCUGAUUACUCGUCAGUUCCCCCACCAGCCAACUUGACCACCACUGCUCCUGAGGGCAGCUAGGAUCUCGUGGGUUUAAUUUUAUUGUUUAAAUGAUGUACUUAAUACUUUUGUGAUGUCAAUCAAGGGAACUCUUUCUAUUUUUGUUAA